This 578-nucleotide long non-coding RNA is filed under the name Homo sapiens (human). RNAcentral describes it as "non-protein coding lnc-CRYBB1-1:3". The record is from RNAcentral. Lineage: Eukaryota; Metazoa; Chordata; Mammalia; Primates; Hominidae.
AUGGGUGCAUACAAGUACAUCCUGGAGCUAUGGAGAAAGAAGCAGUCUGAUGUCAUGCGCUUUCUUCUGAGGGUCCGCUGCUGGCAGUACCGCCAGCUAUCUGCUCUCCACAGGGCUCCCCGCCCCACCCGGCCUGAUAAAGUGCACCGACUGGGCUACAAACAAGGCCAUGGUGGCUGAAAACGCCCAGUUCCUAAGGGUGCAACUUACAGCAAGCCUGUCCAUCAUGGUGUUAACCAGCUAAAGUUUGCUCGAAGCCUUCAGUCCGUUGCAGAGGAGCGAGCUGGACGCCACCAUGGGGCUCUGAGCGUCCUGAAUUCUUACAGGGUUGGUGAAGAUUCCACAUAAAAAUUUUCUGAGGUUGUCCUCAUUGAUCCAUUCCAUAAAGCUAUCAGAAGAAAUCCUGACACCCAAUGGAUCAUCAAACCACUCCACAAGCACAGGGAGAUGCGUGGGCUGACAUCUGAAGGCUGAAAGAGCCCUGGGCUUGGAAAGGGCCAUAAGUUCCACCACACUGUUGGUGGUUCUCGCCGGGCAGCUUAGAGAAGGCGCAAUACUCUCCAGCUCCACCGUUACCG